RNAcentral lists this long non-coding RNA (857 nucleotides) under Nicotiana benthamiana. Its description in RNAcentral is "long non-coding RNA (NBEN_LNC038226)". The record is from RNAcentral. Lineage: Eukaryota; Viridiplantae; Streptophyta; Magnoliopsida; Solanales; Solanaceae.
GUGUGUCAAAGUUCCCUAAGAGCCUCAAUAGGACUUCAUUCAGUGCUUACAUCCAAAUUGUAUCACCUGAAUAAGGACAAGUGUAGUGUGGAAGGGCCAGCCCUCAAGUGUCUAAGUUCAAAGGGAGCUCAAUGGGUCCCAAGGCAAGGCUCACAAGAGGGUGGUAGAACUUGAAGUCUAAGAGAGAGUGAAAGUACAUAAACAAAACUUUUAAACUAAGGAAAUAAAGAAGAGGGAAAGAGGUGCUGGGAAAUAUCCAUAAACAAGUCAUACAAAGGGUUCAGGGAUUGGGGAAAUUGCCAAGAGCCUAUGCAUAUAGGCAUUGGAUCAGCUUUGGGCAUGCACAACAAUGGAAGAUGUUGUCAUGCCCAGAAGCCUCCCAAAACACACAAUGCUAGAGAAACAUAGAGGUUAGGAUCCCAGAGGAUCAAGAUUGAGUCAUAGGCAGUAAUAUUCAAUAUUGUCAUGCCUCAAGCAAACCACAAACAUUAAAUACAUUGGGGUAGAGGUUUAGGAUGCAUCGUAAAUAUAGAACAGGCAGAAGCAUGCUAAAAUAAACACUAAACUAAACACUAGCAGUAGGCAGACAAAAAAAAAGGAAAAGCAUUAAGUAAAUACAUUGUUGUGAUGCUGAAAAUCUAUAUCAGGACAUACCAAUUCAAAGAGCAAAAUACAAUAAAAGCAAGUAGCAGGGCUUGAAAGUAGGCCACAGUAAAGUAAUAAAACAAGAGAGAAUGUUUUUGAGUGUCAAUGAAUUUUUAGAACUCAGAGUGUGCAUCUCUAUUUGUGUUAAUGAAAAGGCGGGUAUUUAUAGUUUGAAAAUAGGUAGAACGUAAGGCAAGAAAAUAAUUAUGGAA